Molecule: long non-coding RNA, 1738 nt
Organism: Rhineura floridana
Lineage: Eukaryota; Metazoa; Chordata; Lepidosauria; Squamata; Rhineuridae
Exons: 3
Source: RefSeq, a predicted model, not a curated record
UACAACUCUGUGACUCUUAAGAAGAAUUCACUAACAGCAUCUAACAGGAUGUUUGCCAAAUGUUCUUGAACUAGGCAACUUGGAGGAAGUGACAUGCCUAUCAUUUCAUGGAUGUUACUUAAAAAUGAAUGUGAAGGAUGAGAUCCUCUGUAAUAGUAGAUUCCCUGACAGAUUUUCCAUGUGUCCUACUUUACAGAGCAUGUCCUCUAUUUGAAAGGCUGUCAAAGGAUGGUACUGUGUUUGAAGGAUUCCUCUGUUUGAAUGUCUGCCUCGUCCAAGUCCAGUUUAAAGAUAACCAUACGAAAGAAGAACAGAGGCCCUGAAGUUGCCUCCUGAAGCUAAUACCUGGGCAACAAACUGAGUAGGCACACAGGUCACCGGGCCACAUUCUUCCCCACUAUGAGCAUGAGGAAAGAGCAACACUGCGCAGAAGUCCAGUUUGAGGCACAUGAUUUUCAGCCACAAAUCAGAGGAGCAGAAGACUUCCCCUGCUGCCCCCCAAUGUUUUGAACUUCCAAGCAAAUAAGGAACUGGGAACUAGGAACCAAAUUCAGCGUUGCGACAACAUAGCCAGUUAACAGGGAUGAUGGAAAUUGUAGUCCUGCAACAUCUGGAGGGCACCAUGUCAGCUAUCCCUGAUCUGUAAGGUCCCACAAGUGCCUUCGUUGUUUGUUGCAAUACAUACAAGAACAUAAGAAGAACCUGCUGGAUCCAAUCAGUGGCCCAUCUAGCCUAGCCUGUGCUCACAGUGGCCAAUCAGAUGCCCUAAAGGGAAGCCCAUAAGCAGGACCUGAGUGCACAAGCAGCACUCUCCUCACUUGUAUUUCCAGCAGCUGAUUUUCAGAAGCAUACUGUCUCUGACAGUGGAGUAGAACAUAGUCAUCAUUGGUAGGUGCCGCUAAUAGCUUUAUCCUCCAUGAAUUUGUUGAAUCCUCUUUUAAAGCCAUCCAAGUUGGUGCUCAUCACUGCUUCUUGUGGUAGUAAAUUCCAUAGUUUCACUAUAUGCUGGGCAAGACCACAUUUUUAAUUGCAGGAGAAGGGAUAACAUUUAUGCUGGUGGAUUACUUUUGAUAUGUGCAUUUUCUAUUUACCUACAUUAUGUCUCUUAAGUUCUGCUUCUGACAGUUCAGUUGUGCAUACAUGUCUACCCAAUGAGUUCAAUGGGACUUACUUCCUGGUAAGUAUGUACAGGAUUAAGUUACCUCUAAGUUAUACUGUUGACAAAAAAAAUUACAAAAGCAACAAUUAAAGUACUGAAGUUUGCAUUUUUCUUUGAUGAUAGGGGGUUUCCAUAUUGAUCAAAAUGUGUUUUAGUUGAAGAGGUGCUGCAGUAGAACUCCUGUUCAGUACUGGUGGCAAUGUAAUCUGUAAAAAGACAUUCCUUGUCUGACAUGCUCUUUGAGCAUCUUGUUCUUCUGAGACAUAACAGAAAUGUAUUGUAAAAGCAGCAUUUCAAGUGUAAAAUUUGAUUUCAAGUGAAUUAUAUGUGUGUUGGAAGUAUCAUCAUUGCUGGCGGUGGGGUGGUGGGGAUGUGGGAUUCUGUUAUGCCAUUCUGGUAAUCUUACAGAUAAAAAAUUUUAUUCUACUACCCUCUGUUUGUGUGUGCGUGCUUAUUUUUAAUGUUGUUUUAGGCUACUUAGAUGUGCAGCAGCCAAGGCCAGCAUCUUGUAGGCAAUUCUUUUUAAAAAAGUAACUAAAAUGUAAUUGUAGCGAUUACUUUUGAAUAAAAGUAAUCAGU